GACGAACGCUGGCGGCGCGCCUAACACAUGCAAGUCGAACGGAGCUGAGAGGAGCUUGCUUUUCUCAGCUUAGUGGCGAACGGGUGAGUAACGCGUGAGUAACCUGCCCUGGAGUGGGGGACAACAGUUGGAAACGACUGCUAAUACCGCAUAAGCCCACGGAUCCGCAUGGAUCUGCGGGAAAAGGAUUUAUUCGCUUCAGGAUGGACUCGCGUCCAAUUAGCUAGUUGGUGAGGUAACGGCCCACCAAGGCGACGAUUGGUAGCCGGACUGAGAGGUUGAACGGCCACAUUGGGACUGAGACACGGCCCAGACUCCUACGGGAGGCAGCAGUGGGGGAUAUUGCACAAUGGGGGAAACCCUGAUGCAGCGACGCCGCGUGGAGGAAGAAGGUUUUCGGAUUGUAAACUCCUGUCGUUAGGGACGAUAAUGACGGUACCUAACAAGAAAGCACCGGCUAAACUACGUGCCAGCAGCCGCGGUAAU
This 486-nucleotide ribosomal RNA is filed under the name uncultured bacterium. RNAcentral's name for it is "bacterial SSU rRNA". It matches the Rfam family "Bacterial small subunit ribosomal RNA", at positions 28 to 524 of the family's 1533-position model. The record is from RNAcentral.